CCAUAAAUGCCUCUGUCAGCAUAGCCGGUCUUAGGGAGAAGGUUUGGAUACGGAACCACCAGAUUAUGAAGCAGUAUUGCUGAAGACUCGACUCUAGAGGGCGUCAUUCGGUAUGUGAACCCUUGGGAUACUGGAGCGAAACCUACAAAUUUGAAACAGCCUUAGCUACCGCAUAUGUUUUCUGGAUACCUCUGGUUGCUAUCUUAUGGAGGUCCUCCGACUCGUUCUGCAAGCAUGAAGAGAGACAACCGAGGUUGGAAAGGGGAAGCCAUUUUGAGAGCAAUAGUUGGGACCAGUCUGCACCAUCAUUCUGUGACCUACAUGAGCUAAAAUAUUAUGAAAAUGGCUGUCUUGCAGCAAGUCCUGAGUUCAGUUCGAAGAUGCUUCUUAUGAGUAGUAAACACAAGAUAAACACGAGUGGUGGUUAUCAUCUUUGCAAGCAACAGUUGCCGGCAGGUAAGACACUAGCACUGUUCGUCACAGUAGACUGCCGAUUGGCACCAAUGUUACAGUUGACUUCUAUUUUGUGUUCUCCAACACAAGUAUAAAUUUCUGCCUGAGUGGAGACUCAUAUUUUAUUUGGGAACUAAACUCCGUUAAGUAAGUAAGAGCAUCUGCAAAUCUUAAUUUGAUCUUGUGACUGCCUUCCUGGACUGAAACAUGACUUCUAGAAACGUAAAACACGAGACAUGUGUCUUUCAUUUUCACGAUAGAUAGGGCAGUUGGCGCCGGGCAGUAAGCGGAACUUGUAUUGCAUAGCAAUGAACAUGGCCGCAAUUCAGACACGUGGUGUUAAAUAUCAGAAGUUUCAUGUCUGUCUAAAAGUA
Long non-coding RNA from Cryptotermes secundus, 827 nucleotides. RefSeq lists it as uncharacterized. The transcript is spliced from 3 exons. NCBI's taxonomy places the organism in Eukaryota, Metazoa, Arthropoda, Insecta, Blattodea, Kalotermitidae. The record is from RefSeq and is a predicted model, not a curated record.